UGGGGAAUAUUGGGCAAUGGGCGAAAGCCUGACCCAGCAACGCCGCGUGAAGGAAGAAGGUUUUCGGAUUGUAAACUUUUGUCCUUGGGGAAGAAGGAAGUGACGGUACCCAAGGAGGAAGCCCCGGCUAACUACGUGCCAGCAGCCGCGGUAAUACGUAGGGGGCGAGCGUUGUCCGGAAUGACUGGGCGUAAAGGGCGCGUAGGCGGCUAUGUAAGUCUGGAGUGAAAGUCCUGCUUUCAAGGUGGGAAUUGCUUUGGAUACUGUGUAGCUUGAGUGCAGAAGAGGUAAGUGGAAUUCCCAGUGUAGCGGUGAAAUGCGUAGAGAUUGGGAGGAACACCAGUGGCGAAGGCGACUUACUGGGCUGUAACUGACGCUGAGGCGCGAAAGCGUGGGGAGCGAACAGG
This 407-nucleotide ribosomal RNA is filed under the name uncultured bacterium. RNAcentral's name for it is "bacterial SSU rRNA". It matches the Rfam family "Bacterial small subunit ribosomal RNA", at positions 355 to 776 of the family's 1533-position model. The record is from RNAcentral.